This 372-nucleotide unclassified non-coding RNA is filed under the name Hevea brasiliensis (rubber tree). The record is from RNAcentral. Lineage: Eukaryota; Viridiplantae; Streptophyta; Magnoliopsida; Malpighiales; Euphorbiaceae.
GCCACAAUAGUCAUCGGUGUACAGAAAGGGAGAGGGGGAGCCUCGAACCUGGCCAGGUUUCGAAAAGUGCUUUAUGCCACCAAAUUACACGGGGCUAGGCAACUAUGAGAAUCUAUUGGAGCGUAUCCACUUUGAAAGAAAAAAUUAUUAGGUGCACCGGUACACAUGCAUUAUCUCUCACAAUCACGUGGGAUUCAUUCUUUCUAUUAUAAAGAGAAUCCACUUUUCUGUGAGAGAUGAAACAUUAUUUUUAGUACUCUCGAUGUAUCUAAUAAUUAGCCUUUUAAAAAAUGUUUGCUCCUCUAUUUAUAGACUUCAUUCGCUUUGUGGUCAAAGAUUGCAUUAUGGAAAACUUGAUGAACAAGUAUUUAU